Molecule: long non-coding RNA, 1036 nt
Organism: Phragmites australis (common reed)
Lineage: Eukaryota; Viridiplantae; Streptophyta; Magnoliopsida; Poales; Poaceae
Exons: 2
Source: RefSeq, a predicted model, not a curated record
AUCUAUUUUUCCCUCGCUUCAAUUCUGCCAUAAGAAAGAACUUACCAUGAGUUUCAAAACUAGAAUCUUCCAACUUAUUGCUGUUUCACAGAUAAAACUUAGUCCACCAUAACGUAUGGUAGUGAACUGAGAUUUGUGCCUGACUGUACAAUACAUGUCUCUGUCUGCAUGGAUAGGAGUGGUCAAUUGAAUCCACACCAAGGUUAGGUGGUAGUCACAACAUUGCAGAAAGCCACAUGCAAUGGUCUAGUGAAAAUGGACGACCAAACUGGCCAUGAUCAUGGCGCUCCAAGAAUUGGGCAUGGGUUGUUUUCAUCUCAAUUUGGUUCUUCUGGCUCUGGGACUGGAACUGGAAUUGGCGGCAAUAUCUGGCCUUCCAGACAAGGGCUCCACUCCUUGGCAAAGGAGGGAAGAAAAAAAAGACAAGGAGCUCAAUCUUUUUUUUAAAAAAAAGGAGAGAGAGUAAAGCGGGAAACAAGCCAACAUGCAUUUCAAAAAAGAAGGCACAAUUUUUUUCCCAAAAUAACCGACAAGGGCUUCAACUCAUGUCAUUUGUGCUCUUCCUGAUGCUCCUGGCAGUUCUCCUGCCAAACUGUUUGCUCAAACUUGUGGCUUCUCUGCACCUAAACAGCGGGGCUGGAUGGAGGCUUUUAGACAGGGGUUGUAACUUGAUACAGGGUUGUCAACUGAUCCAGGAAUGGUUCCAGUAAGCAAACAUUCUGGAAUGGUCUGUCAACAUGACACCGGUCUUACCAUGCAACACUCAAAUUUCACAUGGACAACUGCUCGGACUGAAGAAAUUUCAGUUAUGCAAAUGCCUAACCCCCUACUAGACUUCACUAUAUGCACGAGCUUUACCAUGGUCGGGCAGUCAGGCUCGGAGCCAGAGUACAACCAAUUAAUCCAAGACAAUGGCAGGACUUGAUCUGUGACGGUGUUUGAAAUGUCAUUAGGUUCGGGUCCUGUUUGGAACACUUGAACUUCACACAAGGUUUCUACCGGAAUUAUAUGGUUUCACGUGAAACCGUUCAUUUUG